CCUACGGGAGGCAGCAGUGGGGAAUAUUGCGCAAUGGGGGCAACCCUGACGCAGCAACGCCGCGUGAUUGAAGAAGGCCUUCGGGUUGUAAAGAUCUUUAAUUGGGGACGAAAACAAUGACGGUACCCAAAGAAUAAGCUCCGGCUAACUACGUGCCAGCAGCCGGGGUAAUACGGAGGGAGGAAGCGUUAUCCGGAUUUACUGGGUGUAAAGGGGGAGUCGGGGGGCUGGCAAGUUUGGAGUGAAAUUCCGGGGGUUAACCCCGGAACUGCUGUCAAAACCGCUGGUCUUGAGUGAGGGAGAGGCAGGCGGAAUGCGGGGUGUAGCGGUGAAAUGCGUAGAUAUACGGAGGAACACCAGUGGCGAAGGCGGCCUGCUGGACAUUAACUGACGCUGAGGAGCGAAAGCGUGGGGAGCGAACAGGAUUAGAUACCCGAGUAGUC
This 443-nucleotide ribosomal RNA is filed under the name uncultured bacterium. RNAcentral describes it as "partial 16S ribosomal RNA". It matches the Rfam family "Bacterial small subunit ribosomal RNA", at positions 338 to 795 of the family's 1533-position model. The record is from RNAcentral.